CACCGCUGGCAGACGUGCACUUUAAAAAUGGCUGCUCCCAUAACGGCGAAAAUUAUCGACUUUGAUGGCGACCAAAGCGAAGCACAAGCAAACCUGCAGUUCCAAGAUUUCUCGGACACGUUGCAAGGCAGCAGCGACCAGCGCAGUCAGCAAGCAGUGAAUCAGGCAUACACCAGCUUCUCGGACAUGAACGAUGACGAAGACGAGAGCGACGAGUUACAGCUGCUGAACCGAGAGAGAGACGCCAGUGCACCAUCGUUCUGGAAGUUCAGCUACUACCAGAGCCUCUUUGACGUGACGACCAAUGAUGUGCUCAGGCGGCUGCUGUGGUCAGCCAUGCCACAGUUUUCAAGCCCAUCCUACCUCGAGAAGCACAUCAGGCCUAACCCUGACCUCUAUGGGCCCAUAUGGGUAGGCCUGACAUUGGUGGUGACUACGUCAGUGAGCAGCAAUGUGGCCAGCUACUUGGAGACAGCUGGCCAGAGCAAGGACUUCUGGCACACUGACUACACUCGAGUGUCAUUUGCAUCGACGGCAAUCACGGUGUACAUGUUUUUGGUGCCACUGGUGCUGUGGGCGGUGCUCAAGUACCGCAAGGUGGAGUCUCGCUACUCCCUGUUGGAGACCCUCUGCCUAUAUGGCUACUCCCUGGCGAUCUAUGUGCCCAUCUCUAUCCUGUGGGCUGUGCACCUGACCUGGCUGCGGUGGACAUUGGUUGUCGUGGGUGCUUCGCUCUCUGGCUGUGUCCUGGUCACCACUUUGUGGCCUUCCUUCAGGGAAGACUCCCGCAAGAUGGCCAUCAUCACGUCUGCUGUUGUAUUUGCAUUACAUGCAUUACUGGCUCUUGGCUUUGUGAGUGCUCUGGCAGCAAUACAAAGUUUGUGUAUCAUGUAAAAGAGGAACUAAGUGUUGCUGCUAGCAUGAGUGGACUCCACUGAUCGCAAAGAACCAAAGUCAUCACUCCAGCGCCCAGAGGUACUUCUUUCAACAUGAGAUUGUACACAACGUGCCAGCAACACCACCACCUCCCCUGGUCGUCACAACUGCAGGUAGUCACUUC
RNAcentral lists this unclassified non-coding RNA (1060 nucleotides) under Dermacentor andersoni. Its description in RNAcentral is "protein YIPF2-like". The record is from RNAcentral. Lineage: Eukaryota; Metazoa; Arthropoda; Arachnida; Ixodida; Ixodidae.